This 2264-nucleotide ribosomal RNA is filed under the name Salmonella enterica. RNAcentral describes it as "partial 23S ribosomal RNA". It matches the Rfam family "Bacterial large subunit ribosomal RNA", at positions 689 to 2925 of the family's 2925-position model. Lineage: Bacteria; Pseudomonadati; Pseudomonadota; Gammaproteobacteria; Enterobacterales; Enterobacteriaceae. The record is from RNAcentral.
CGGGCGUUAAGUUGCAGGGUAUAGACCCGAAACCCGGUGAUCUAGCCAUGGGCAGGUUGAAGGUUGGGUAACACUAACUGGAGGACCGAACCGACUAAUGUUGAAAAAUUAGCGGAUGACCUGUGGCUGGGGGUGAAAGGCCAAUCAAACCGGGAGAUAGCUGGUUCUCCCCGAAAGCUAUUUAGGUAGCGCCUCGUGAACUCAUCUCCGGGGGUAGAGCACUGUUUCGGCUAGGGGGCCAUCCCGGCUUACCAACCCGAUGCAAACUGCGAAUACCGGAGAAUGUUAUCACGGGAGACACACGGCGGGUGCUAACGUCCGUCGUGAAGAGGGAAACAACCCAGACCGCCAGCUAAGGUCCCAAAGUCAUGGUUAAGUGGGAAACGAUGUGGGAAGGCCCAGACAGCCAGGAUGUUGGCUUAGAAGCAGCCAUCAUUUAAAGAAAGCGUAAUAGCUCACUGGUCGAGUCGGCCUGCGCGGAAGAUGUAACGGGGCUAAACCAUGCACCGAAGCUGCGGCAGCGACACUCAGGUGUUGUUGGGUAGGGGAGCGUUCUGUAAGCCUGCGAAGGUGGCCUGUGAGGGUUGCUGGAGGUAUCAGAAGUGCGAAUGCUGACAUAAGUAACGAUAAAGCGGGUGAAAAGCCCGCUCGCCGGAAGACCAAGGGUUCCUGUCCAACGUUAAUCGGGGCAGGGUGAGUCGACCCCUAAGGCGAGGCCGAAAGGCGUAGUCGAUGGGAAACGGGUUAAUAUUCCCGUACUUGGUGUUACUGCGAAGGGGGGACGGAGAAGGCUAUGUUGGCCGGGCGACGGUUGUCCCGGUUUAAGCGUGUAGGUGUGUGUUCCAGGUAAAUCCGGUUCACUUUAACACUGAGGCGUGAUGACGAGGCACUACGGUGCUGAAGCAACAAAUGCCCUGCUUCCAGGAAAAGCCUCUAAGCAUCAGGUAACAUCAAAUCGUACCCCAAACCGACACAGGUGGUCAGGUAGAGAAUACCAAGGCGCUUGAGAGAACUCGGGUGAAGGAACUAGGCAAAAUGGUGCCGUAACUUCGGGAGAAGGCACGCUGACACGUAGGUGAAGUGAUUUACUCAUGGAGCUGAAGUCAGUCGAAGAUACCAGCUGGCUGCAACUGUUUAUUAAAAACACAGCACUGUGCAAACACGAAAGUGGACGUAUACGGUGUGACGCCUGCCCGGUGCCGGAAGGUUAAUUGAUGGGGUCAGCGCAAGCGAAGCUCCUGAUCGAAGCCCCGGUAAACGGCGGCCGUAACUAUAACGGUCCUAAGGUAGCGAAAUUCCUUGUCGGGUAAGUUCCGACCUGCACGAAUGGCGUAAUGAUGGCCAGGCUGUCUCCACCCGAGACUCAGUGAAAUUGAACUCGCUGUGAAGAUGCAGUGUACCCGCGGCAAGACGGAAAGACCCCGUGAACCUUUACUAUAGCUUGACACUGAACAUUGAGCCUUGAUGUGUAGGAUAGGUGGGAGGCUUUGAAGUGUGGACGCCAGUCUGCAUGGAGCCGGCCUUGAAAUACCACCCUUUAAUGUUUGAUGUUCUAACGUGGACCCGUGAUCCGGGUUGCGGACAGUGUCUGGUGGGUAGUUUGACUGGGGCGGUCUCCUCCUAAAGAGUAACGGAGGAGCACGAAGGUUGGCUAAUCCUGGUCGGACAUCAGGAGGUUAGUGCAAUGGCAUAAGCCAGCUUGACUGCGAGCGUGACGGCGCGAGCAGGUGCGAAAGCAGGUCAUAGUGAUCCGGUGGUUCUGAAUGGAAGGGCCAUCGCUCAACGGAUAAAAGGUACUCCGGGGAUAACAGGCUGAUACCGCCCAAGAGUUCAUAUCGACGGCGGUGUUUGGCACCUCGAUGUCGGCUCAUCACAUCCUGGGGCUGAAGUAGGUCCCAAGGGUAUGGCUGUUCGCCAUUUAAAGUGGUACGCGAGCUGGGUUUAGAACGUCGUGAGACAGUUCGGUCCCUAUCUGCCGUGGGCGCUGGAGAACUGAGGGGGGCUGCUCCUAGUACGAGAGGACCGGAGUGGACGCAUCACUGGUGUUCGGGUUGUCAUGCCAAUGGCACUGCCCGGUAGCUAAAUGCGGAAGAGAUAAGUGCUGAAAGCAUCUAAGCACGAAACUUGCCCCGAGAUGAGUUCUCCCUGAGACUUUAGGUCUCCUGAAGGAACGUUGAAGACGACGACGUUGAUAGGCCGGGUGUGUAAGCGCAGCGAUGCGUUGAGCUAACCGGUACUAAUGAACCGUGAGGCUUAACCUUACA